This 482-nucleotide ribosomal RNA is filed under the name uncultured bacterium. RNAcentral describes it as "partial 16S ribosomal RNA". It matches the Rfam family "Bacterial small subunit ribosomal RNA", at positions 30 to 507 of the family's 1533-position model. The record is from RNAcentral.
AUUGAACGCUGGCGGCAUGCCUUACACAUGCAAGUCGAACGGUAACGGGCCUUCGGUUGCCGACGAGUGGCGAACGGGUGCGUAAUACAUCCGAACGUUCCCGAUCGUGGUGGUUAACGAGUCGAAAGCUUUGCUAAUACCGCAUACGAUCUACGUAUUCAAGCAUGGGACCUCAAGGCCUUUCUCGGACUUAUCUGCCGAUGUCGGAUUAGGUAGUUUGUGGGUUAAAAGCUUACCAAGCCGACGAUCUGUAGCUGGUCUGAGAGGAUGAUCAGCCACACUGGGACUGAGACACGGACCAGACUACUACGGGAGGCAGCAGUGGGGAAUUUUGGACAAUGGGCGAAAGCCUGAUCCAGCCAUGCCGCGUGCAGGAUGAAGGCCUUCGGGUUGUAAACUGCUUUUGUACGGAACGAAAAGCAUUCUUUUAAUACAGGAGGGUCAUGACGGUACCGGAAGAAUAAGCACCGGCUAACUACGUG